AGAGCGGGAGCCCGGAGAUGGGCACUGAGACAAGGGCCCAGGCCCUACGGGGCGCAGCAGUUGCGAAAACUCCACAAUGCACGAAAGUGCGAUGGGGCUACCCCGAGUGCCGUCCGCUGAGGACGGCUUUUCCACGGUGUAAGGAGCCGUGGGAAUAAGGAGAGGGCAAGCCUGGUGUCAGCCGCCGCGGUAAUACCAGCUCUCCGAGUGGUGAGGACGAUUAUUGGGCUUAAAGCGUUCGUAGCCGGCUUAACAAGUCUUCCGUUAAAUCCAACGAUCUAAUCGUUGGGCCGCGGAAGAUACUGUUGAGCUAGGAGGCGGGAGAAGCCGACGGUAUUCUCGGGGUAGGGGUGAAAUCCUGUAAUCCCGGGAGGACCACCAGUGGCGAAGGCGGUCGGCU
This 400-nucleotide ribosomal RNA is filed under the name uncultured archaeon. Its description in RNAcentral is "bacterial SSU rRNA". It matches the Rfam family "Archaeal small subunit ribosomal RNA", at positions 279 to 681 of the family's 1478-position model. The record is from RNAcentral.